ACACGUAGGUAAGGAGGUCUACUUCGUAAUAGCGACCAAUAGAUAUUCGUAUCAACGGCCUUUCCUCUCACUUACAGAUCGUCAACGGAGAGUCCCGCGUCCUGCAUCAAUCGUCAACCUGAAUCGGAACGGCGCGAACCAGAAAAGGGUGUACAGUAUCAAAACAACGUCACUGGAAGGCGCCACCGGAACUGCGCGAAGAAUGCCCCCCGUGUGCCCGAGAAAAAACAAAGGACGAACGUGUAUACGAUUCCCUACCGGCGAUAAACGUCCCGAAGCUGGCCAAGAGGUUUCGCGUGACGGAAACACGGGAGAACGUUGCAUACAUGCGUGUCUCGUGGGUCGACGCAUCGCGUCGCAUAAAUUGAGUUUAAUUUCUUCAUCCAAACAACAACAACGCCUCGUUGACGAUACUGUGGAGGUUGUGCCUGAAGAGCGAGAGAAGAGAAAAGGAAGGGAGCAUUUCGUUGUGGGCCUGCUAGUGGUCUCGUCAGUAAGGCUACCUAGGAGUCCCGUGCCUUAGACGCCGGGAUGUUUAGAAGUUAUGGACGUCCCUCUAGUGGCAAUUCAAGCAAUGAAAAUUCUUCGUUCCUCCUCAAGAUGACCCUUCCUCCUUCGAACGCAUUCGGCGAUUCUUCCACAGACCUGGCGAUUUUGAAACGAAAUUUCUAGAGGAGCCCAAAUAAAAUAUCUCCGAAAGAAGUCAUGAACGAGAUCAGGGCAUUGACUGCUCGCUCCUUGGCUACUAAAUCGAGGCCUCUC
Molecule: long non-coding RNA, 762 nt
Organism: Hylaeus volcanicus
Lineage: Eukaryota; Metazoa; Arthropoda; Insecta; Hymenoptera; Colletidae
Exons: 3
Source: RefSeq, a predicted model, not a curated record